CGGACGGGUGAGUAAUGUCUGGGAAACUGCCUGAUGGAGGGGGAUAACUACUGGAAACGGUAGCUAAUACCGCAUAACGUCGCAAGACCAAAGAGGGGGACCUUCGGGCCUCUCGCCAUCGGAUGUGCCCAGAUGGGAUUAGCUAGUAGGUGGGGUAACGGCUCACCUAGGCGACGAUCCCUAGCUGGUCUGAGAGGAUGGCCAGCCACACUGGAACUGAGACACGGUCCAG
Molecule: ribosomal RNA, 232 nt
Filed under: uncultured bacterium
Lineage: Bacteria
Description: partial 16S ribosomal RNA
Rfam family: Bacterial small subunit ribosomal RNA
Source: RNAcentral